UUUAGCCAGCCACCAAAAAUAUACAUAGAGUGAGUGAUCGAUCUUGAGAAGAUCGCAAUAGAUUAGAAAACUGAUAUUUUUACCCAGCCCUGAUUGUGAUUGUCUCACUUUGUCUUCCAGAUCUGCACCUUGUUCGUGGAGAGACAGGUUGGCAUAGGCGGUGCUGCCUGCCGUCCUCUGCCUGGCACAUGUUCCUGGCACUGGGAUGUGCAGUGAAAACCCCCUCCUGUCCGUCACAUGUCACUAGCAUGUUGCCAGUGCCGGACUUCCGCACCCCUGCUGGGCACAGAAUGACAUCUGGAUGAAGCUAAGAAAAGACACUCACAUGGAAUUGAGAGGAAGGAGAGGUCAAAAAGGGUAUCCCCAUAGACCAAACAAUAGGGGUCAUUACACAGAAGACAGGAAGAAGAUAAGAGGAUCGUAUGGCUGUUUCACACUGCACUCAUAAGCAGCACGCAACAAGGUUCUAUCCAUAAAAUAAAGUGAUUUCUGGGUCUCU
This is a long non-coding RNA of Cyprinus carpio (common carp), 499 nucleotides long. RefSeq lists it as uncharacterized. The record is from RefSeq and is a predicted model, not a curated record. The transcript has 3 exons. Lineage: Eukaryota; Metazoa; Chordata; Actinopteri; Cypriniformes; Cyprinidae.